Oreochromis niloticus (Nile tilapia) is the source of this 2123-nucleotide long non-coding RNA. RefSeq lists it as uncharacterized. The transcript has 3 exons. The record is from RefSeq and is a predicted model, not a curated record. NCBI's taxonomy places the organism in Eukaryota, Metazoa, Chordata, Actinopteri, Cichliformes, Cichlidae.
AUACCUUCAUACUCUUCAGUUACAACACAAAUGGCAGGACAAGAAACAAAGUCUCAAGGAAGGGGACAUCGUUCUGCUCAAAGAUAUUCAGGUGAAGAGGAGCGAUUGGCCCAUGUGCAUCAUAACCAAGACUUUCCCAGGGAAAGAUGGACUUGUCAGGAAAGUCGAAGUAACUACUUCUCACUCAGGCAAUAAGAAGACUUUCUCUCGUCCUGUAACAGAAGUAGUUUUGCUGCUGUCCCCCGAAAAGUUUAGUGACUGACAAUUUAAUGUGGGAUUGUUAUAAUCCCAGGCGGGGAGUGUUAUGUUACUGCUUAAUUAAUUCCAUGUUUCAGAUGUUAGUAAAAUGUGCCACCCUGUGGCCCCUUUAAGUUGAUAUUUUAUGACAGUAGAAGAAGAGUUAAACAGGAAGUGGAUGUUUUCUUGCUAUGCUGUUUCAAGAUGGCCGCACCACAUUCAUGUCCUUCUUUUGGGUGUUUGUUAAAGCAUUGUCUGUAAGUAUUUAAUGGUAAAAAGCAACGAGACACUCCAAGUGUUGUCUUUAUGUGUGAUGGAUCACAGUUAACAAGUUUUCAAUGUGCUAUUCAUAUGUAAAUGAGAUCGCCAGUUAAUAUGCUAAUUAGCGGUGCUAAUCGUCAUGCUAGCUUCUCAAAUGCAUUGUUAGGUUAUUGGUUUAAGGCUGUAUGUUGUUGUUAACAGUACAGAUGAGUAAUGUACAUUUCCACAUAUGCUUUAUUGUUACAGUUUCACAAAAUGAAAGAACCAGUAAACUUCAUAAGAUCUCAUCUAUUGUCUGGAGUUCCUGGGUUCAUGUUUAGCUGUUUGGAUAGCUAGUCAGACUUCUAGCGAGGCCAUUUACAAACACACAAACUGUUUUUGUGCAGUUUGACUCACAGCGUGUUGCUAGCUAAAAGUCCAGCUGCUGGAUUUCACAGGGGCAGAAACGAGUUUGAGAUAAACUCACUCAGAGACGGAGAAAGAAUACAGGACAGGAACAGGAGAGCUUAUAUUUAAAGCAGAGUGUAAUCACCUCCUACGAGCCAUCCUGUCUCAGGAAUCAUCCUGCGAAGCCACAAGUCAACGUCACCUCUGUUUCCUGCUUGUCCAAAGUAAACAGCCAUAAAAAGGGCUGUGUGCUGAGCCCGUUCCUCUAUGACUGCAGACCUAGGUAUGGAUCCAACUCCAUCAUCAAGUCUGCAGAUGACACCACGGUGAUUGUCUCAUCAGUGACAACGAUGAGUCUGGCUACAGAAUUAGAAUCAUAAUACUUUAUUAAUCCCCACAUAAUUUCCCUGUGGAUUAAUAAAGUAUUCUGAUUCUGAUUCUGAUACAGCUCCUCCCCUUCAGAAGGCGCUACAGGAGCCUUCAGACAAAAACCAGCAGGUUUAGGAACAUCUUCCCCACAGCUGUCACCCUACUGAACUCCGUCUCCUGCUGAACCUUUCCAUCCAGACUCACUUAGCCCUUCUACACUCCUCCUUCCAAUAACCAUGAUCAUGUCAUUCUCAACAUUCACCAUAUGCUCACAUUGGUUACUGCUAUAGUUUUAGGACACUGACAUAGUAUAGUCUUUGUUAUAGUGGUACACUGUUCACCAUUAUAGUCUAUUCAGAGAGCUACACUUCCACUACGGUAGAUAUAUUCAUAGCACUGUGUAUAUCUGCCCAUCUGUACAGCAAUAUAGAACAUCUGUAUGCUAUACAGAUCAUUUGUAUAUCUGUACAUAUGUACACAACAGAACAUCUGUACAUUUGUCUGUAUUACAUCUGUAUUUCUGCUCUCAACUUACUUGUAUAUAAUCUGCUCUUAUUGCACUUACUGCUCUUGCACUUCUGAUUAGAUGCAAACUGUAUUUCAUUACCCUGUAUUCAUACAUGUGUAACGAAGUAAGUUGAAUCCUAAAUUCUAUCCUAAAUAUUUAAACAAAAUCACAGCUACAGGAGAAGUUUUUAGAAGUUCAGAUGUUAAUAAAUGAAGGGUAAAUUAGUAAAGUAAGUCAUAAGUAAAGACAGCACUGAAGCGAGGGAGAAAGACAAAGUGAUGUUAAAGUUUGUUCUCAAAGGCAGCAGCUACAGUGAGCCAGUGCAGGUGAUUUGAGACUAUGAGAAAUCUGAGAGACUCAA